CAGGAAGUAGUUUAAAUAGAAUAUCAGCUUUGGG
RNAcentral lists this transfer RNA (34 nucleotides) under Lemmus lemmus (Norway lemming). RNAcentral describes it as "partial tRNA-Pro". Lineage: Eukaryota; Metazoa; Chordata; Mammalia; Rodentia; Cricetidae. The record is from RNAcentral.